UGAAGUCGAAGAUGAGUCAAAGGGGCAUAACAUGAGGCAAAAAUCAUUUAUAUAUGUUGCAUGACAUGUCCUAAGAGUGCAAAUAUGAUUUGGAGAGGGCUUGGUGUGAGCCCAAGGGGGCGGAGGCAUGGUGAGGAUCAUGUGCGGUGUUCGAUGUCAGCGCCGUGCCAUUUUGAGCUACAAGUGGAAUCUAAGGAUUCCGGUUUAGAGAGUUGAUAUUGAUGGUACCUUAUAUAUUCUUACCAAAUUUGGGGUCGUUUGGAGUCCGUUUGGAUAGUGG
This 280-nucleotide long non-coding RNA is filed under the name Capsicum annuum. Its description in RNAcentral is "long non-coding RNA (CANN_LNC010368)". The record is from RNAcentral. Lineage: Eukaryota; Viridiplantae; Streptophyta; Magnoliopsida; Solanales; Solanaceae.